Molecule: long non-coding RNA, 555 nt
Organism: Salvia hispanica
Lineage: Eukaryota; Viridiplantae; Streptophyta; Magnoliopsida; Lamiales; Lamiaceae
Source: RefSeq, a predicted model, not a curated record
UAUCAGUCAAAAUAUAACACGGUUUUCUCCCAUGUGUCCAUGUUCCCUGAAAAUCUCAACUGAAAGAUCAUACUCCUAUCUUUCUUCCUCCUCAUUGUAAUGCACGCAGCCAUUCUUCCAUCCAAAAUCGCAAAAUACCGCGAGUUUGAAAUCCAAUCUGCUGUUAUUAACAAAAAGUUGAGAGGAAAAACCGAGCAGCCUGUGAAUUCAAAUUCUCCCCGUAAUCUCAAUUGUCAAUUCAUUCUUUCGUGCUAUAAAGGGUGAACUUGUGCACGUUGUUUGCGGUUGGAACAGAAAGUGGUUAAGGAGUUAAGCUUUUGAGAUUGAGCGGCGAUGGAUGUGGAGGAUGUUGAGCACUGUCGUUGGAAAAUUAUGUCUUGUUUAAUUGUCGGAUUUGUCGGGUCUUCAUACCGGCAUUAUCCCAUGUCUUGAUGCUUCCGCUAGUUUCUAUGUCUUUUCCUUUGGAUUGUUUAUCUCUGGAUCGAAUUCUUCGAAGUUAGUUUGUUGAGACAGUAUUUGUCGUUCUAAUUCUUUAGUUAAUCUUUUGCUUGGUCA